CUAGGUGUUGUAAAGUCUUUUGCAUCUACUGUCAGUCUGACCAGAAUGAAGAACCUUAUGUGAGCAUCACUAAGAAACGACAGAUGCCAAAAGAUGGACUUUCAGAGGAGGUGGAGAAAGAGGUUGGCCAGGCAGAAGACAAGCUGUUUACCCACCAUUCUGCAUUCAGCCAGACAUAAGUGAUACAGGCUUUCCUAGGCUCUGCCCCACAACUGAGCCUACAACUGUUUAUAACUGUUUUGGAGCAGAAUAUCACUACUGG
Molecule: long non-coding RNA, 262 nt
Filed under: Mus musculus (house mouse)
Lineage: Eukaryota; Metazoa; Chordata; Mammalia; Rodentia; Muridae
Description: long non-coding RNA chrX:66024043-66024305
Source: RNAcentral